AACAUGAGAGAACUAUAUGUUCAUUGCAUCUCCUCUAAUCCUUGAAAAUAAAAGAAUCAGACAGUCCCUGUAGAAAGAUCCAGAACCCGCUCAUCACUCCGAUCCAAAAAGGAAAACAACAAUUCAGUAGCUCAACUAAACAUAAUUGCAUUAAAUAAUAACCUCCUGCCUUCCCAACUCAAGAACAUGGAUUCUCUAACAGUUUCAAUCACACGGUCCUUAGUUGGAUUGCUCUAAACUGGAACAAGCACCCGUGGAAAACUGAAUAAGUCCAUACAGCAUGCAAGCCACAAAAUUAGUAUGCUCAGAGGGAGACUUUGAACCUUAAUAACUUUGAUAAGCUUUCUAUCCAAAAUCAGAGCCUUCGCCAACAUUGUUCUGGACAUACACCCAACCAGAUUCUUCAAAAUUCAUCCCUUCAAAGAAAAUACCAAGGCAAAUGAAACUGAUCAUAAGGCAACCGUCUAGUAUCUCCAAUAACAAGGAAGAUGACUUCGAACAACCCUUGUAGAGCCGAUGAGAAAGAGAUACAGUAAAUAUCUGGUCGACAGAUCAUCAUUCGCAAAGGAUCACAAUGCAAUUGGACAUGUAUAAGUUCAUGGCCCUAAACAGGUUUGCUUUAUUAAAUUUAGAUCAUAUAUACGAAGCAGAAGUUCACCCGUCAUACAUUAGGGUAUCAUAAGAGAUCAGAAGGGGUCCAUGCUCGCUAGAUAUUUUAAAACCUCAAACCAAAGCUUAUUCACUGCAGGAUUGUUGUCUGCCCCUUCAGUUUCACCGAUUUAAAAAUAAAUACAUAAAUUUGACAAACAUGGCAACCAAGCACCAAGUGUCUGCUCCUCCCAGCUUGACCAGCCAUGUCUGCUGACAGCAUACAUGAAACGGCCCAGCGUUGUGAAGAAUAAGAAAUGAGAGAAUCAGCAGAAAGGAGAGAACCGGUCCAAGCGCAAGCAAUGCCAAGGAAGUUAUGUCCAUAUGGCUGUCCGGUCAACAUCCCCAUGUGAGGCCUGAUCACAUAUACCAAUCAUGCAAACAGGCAAAAGCACAGCACAGUUCAUCUUUUCAGAAUGAGAUGCUAACAGUUUGCAAUGGAGUAUCACUUGGGCCCUUGCAGAAAAGCCUUCAUUGUCCCAUGGAUCGACGAGAACCUAAAAUAUUCACAAUUUAGGCCCCCAUGUGGCACCCUGCAUACCAAAAACAACCCAUCUCACAUAAAAAAACCCUCACUUGUAAACUGUCGAAUAUCGGCUAAGCAAAAAUCCAUACAGAUAUCUUAUUGCAACUAAGCAGACUUAGUACUCUCCUUUUGCAUCUAUGUCCAACAGAGAGGCCAUCCAAUGACAAUCCGCGAUCUUUUGUCAAACUUCAACCCUCAAAGCAUAAGUCGAGCUUGUUCUCCGCACACCCUAUC
This 1408-nucleotide long non-coding RNA is filed under the name Eucalyptus grandis. RNAcentral describes it as "long non-coding RNA (EGRA_LNC007714)". Lineage: Eukaryota; Viridiplantae; Streptophyta; Magnoliopsida; Myrtales; Myrtaceae. The record is from RNAcentral.